GGGGCCACAGCCGCCCCUCCCCCGCCCGCGCCCCCGCCGGGGGGAGGGGCGCGCGGAGUGGGACUCUUUCCGUUUGGUCCAGCCCCGCCGUGCACGCAGUUCCCUACACUUCUCGUCAUCCUCGCUCUCGGGGCUCUUUAUUCUGCUGAGCGGUGCUCUUAGGAUUUCUCUCUCUCUUCUCUCUCCUCUCUCUCUCUCUCUCUCUCUCUCUCUCUCUCUCUCUCUCUCUCUCUUUCUGUCUCUUUUUCCCUGACCACGUUCGCGAUGGUGGGUAGCAGCAGCAAGGUGGCCCUGGCAGGGGAGGGGUUGGUCUCGAGAUUGGGCACCGGGCGGAGAAUGUCUCCUUUUCAACUUUGUCUGUGUGGCUUGAACCCCGGGAGGAGGCCACACGCCGGUUGUGGGUGUAGAGUGAUUUCUAAGUAGUUGAGUUGUUGAGAUGAGGGUAAGGACUGCUAAAUGGUAGGCAGGUUUUGUUUUCAUUGGUGAAUCCGGUGUCAUCAUAUUCCGGUCAUAUGUUGAAAUAUUCUUUGUUUAGGUCUUGAAGUAGAGGAUCUCACACUGCACGUCCACAUUGUGUUGUUUUUAAAUGAAGUCUAGGAGUAUGGGUUUCUAGAAUUUCGGAUGUGAGUGAAGGUCCGGACGUGUGUGGGCCUCAGCUCUGGCCUUGACAGUGAACUUUGUGGCUGUGUUUCGGAUUUCAAAGAUUUGCCCCAUAGCUGGGUUGCUAGUGGAGUCGUGCAUUUUUCUGAAUGGUAGGUGUCAGGAAUAUAGAUGCUUGGGGAAGUUAGAGAGGGAAGAACAUUUGUAUAUUAAUAAUUGAUAGCUGAAUAUUAGAAUCAGAUUAAUUUGGGCUGAUGAAAGUUGUGUUUUUUUUUUUUCAAAACAGUUGUGCACUCUAGGAAGAAAGGCUUUUCAUAGGCAUACUUUGUAAGGGGUUCCUUAAGUCGAGGAGCUCAGAUAUAGCCUUUCAGAGAGGCUACUCAUCAACACCAACAUCUGCAGCUUUAUUGAGGUAAAGGGGACCGAAACUGAGGCUGAGAUGUGUAAGCAUGCUUUUCAGUGCUUAUGCUGUUUGUUUACAUUUGCUGUUCACUCACGUUUGGGCAGUAGAAAUAAAUAGGUCAGCUUUUCUUCGGUUUUUGAAAGCUAGUCCCCUCUCUUUUUUCAGUUUCACAAUUUACUUGGUUUACAGCCUUGUAGGAAACCAUUACUACAUUUUUACUGGAAAUACUAUUAUUCAUGUUAAUUUCGCAUCAUUCCUUGCUAGUGUGGGCAUUAGAAGUCUAAUUGUCAGGCCUGAUAAAUACGCUAUUCUUCCUUCUCCCUACUUCCUCUCCUUUUUCCCAAAGCGGAGAGUUACUCAGUAGUUAAAGUUGGAUGGAACUUUUUUUUUU
This 1394-nucleotide long non-coding RNA is filed under the name Heterocephalus glaber (naked mole-rat). RNAcentral's name for it is "lncRNA (ENSHGLG00100036142.1)". The record is from RNAcentral. Lineage: Eukaryota; Metazoa; Chordata; Mammalia; Rodentia; Bathyergidae.